This 742-nucleotide ribosomal RNA is filed under the name Acarospora glaucocarpa. Its description in RNAcentral is "partial large subunit ribosomal RNA". It matches the Rfam family "Eukaryotic large subunit ribosomal RNA", at positions 140 to 900 of the family's 3401-position model. Lineage: Eukaryota; Fungi; Ascomycota; Lecanoromycetes; Acarosporales; Acarosporaceae. The record is from RNAcentral.
GAGUUGUAAUUUGCAGAGGAUGCUUCGGGUUCGGUGCCGGUCUAAGUUCCUUGGAACAGGACGUCAUAGAGGGUGAGAAUCCCGUAUGUGACCGGCCGCCACGCCCGUGUGAAGCUCCUUCGAUGAGUCGAGUUGUUUGGGAAUGCAGCUCAAAAUGGGUGGUAAAUUUCAUCUAAAGCUAAAUAUUGGCCAGAGACCGAUAGCGCACAAGUAGAGUGAUCGAAAGAUGAAAAGCACUUUGGAAAGAGAGUCAAACAGUACGUGAAAUUGUUGAAAGGGAAGCGCUUGCAACCAGACUUGUCCGCGGGUGAUCAGCCGGUAUUCUUACCGGUGCACUCACCCGUGGUCAGGCCAGCAUCGGUUUGGGCGGCUGGAUAAAGUCCCCCGGAAUGUAGCUCCUCUCGGGGAGUGUUAUAGCCGGAGGUGCCAUGCAGCCCGCCAGGACCGAGGACCGCGCUUCGGCUAGGAUGCUGGCGUAAUGGUCGUAAGCGACCCGUCUUGAAACACGGACCAAGGAGUCUAACAUCUAUGCGAGUGUUUGGGCGUCAAACCCAUGCGCGUAAUGAAAGUGAACGGAGGUGGGAACCCUUAAGGGUGCACCAUCGACCGAUCCUGAUGUCUUCGGAUGGAUUUGAGUAAGAGCAUAGCUGUUGGGACCCGAAAGAUGGUGAACUAUGCCUGAAUAGGGUGAAGCCAGAGGAAACUCUGGUGGAGGCUCGCAGCGGUUCUGACGUGCAAAUCG